AUUGAACGCUGGCGGUAGGCUUACCACAUGCAAGUCGUGCGAGAAAGUAUCUUCGGAUAUGAGUAAAGCGGCGGACGGGUGAGUAACGCGUAGGAAUCUACCUAGUAGAAGGGGAUAGCCCGGGGAAACUCGGAUUAAUACCGUAUACCUCCUUCGGGAGAAAGAAGGCCUCUCUUUGAAGCUUUCGCUAUUAGAUGAGCCUGCGUAAGAUUAGCUUGUUGGUGAGGUAAUGGCUCACCAAGGCUACGAUCUUUAGCUGGUCUGAGAGGACGAUCAGCCACAUUGGGACUGAGACACGGCCCAGACUCCUACGGGAGGCAGCAGUGGGGAAUAUUGGACAAUGGGCGCAAGCCUGAUCCAGCCAUACCGCGUGUGUGAAGAAGGCCUUCGGGUUGUAAAGCACUUUAAGCAGGGAGAAAAAGUUAUAAGUUAAUACCUUAUAACCGUGAUGUUACCUGCAGAAUAAGCACCGGCUAAUUCCGUG
This 484-nucleotide ribosomal RNA is filed under the name uncultured bacterium. RNAcentral describes it as "bacterial SSU rRNA". It matches the Rfam family "Bacterial small subunit ribosomal RNA", at positions 30 to 507 of the family's 1533-position model. The record is from RNAcentral.